GGGGUUAUAGCUCAGUGAUAGAGCACUUGCCUAAAAAGCAUGAAGCCCUGAAUUUGAUCCCC
Molecule: transfer RNA, 62 nt
Filed under: Fukomys damarensis (Damara mole-rat)
Lineage: Eukaryota; Metazoa; Chordata; Mammalia; Rodentia; Bathyergidae
Rfam family: tRNA
About the family: Transfer RNA (tRNA) molecules are approximately 80 nucleotides in length. Their secondary structure includes four short double-helical elements and three loops (D, anti-codon, and T loops).
Source: Rfam by way of RNAcentral